UACGUAGGGACCAAGCGUUGUUCGGAUUUACUGGGCGUAAAGGCGCGUAGGCGGCGCGGUAAGUCACUUGUGAAAUCUCUGAGCUUAACUCAGAACGGCCAAGUGAUACUGCAGUGCUAGAGUGUGGAAGGGGCAAUCGGAAUUCUUGGUGUAGCGGUGAAAUGCGUAGAUAUCAAGAGGAACACCUGAGGUGAAGACGGGUUGCUGGGCCAACACUGACGCUGGAGGCGCGAAAGCCAGGGGAGCAAACGGG
This 253-nucleotide ribosomal RNA is filed under the name uncultured bacterium. RNAcentral's name for it is "partial 16S ribosomal RNA". It matches the Rfam family "Bacterial small subunit ribosomal RNA", at positions 524 to 776 of the family's 1533-position model. The record is from RNAcentral.